This 1213-nucleotide ribosomal RNA is filed under the name activated sludge metagenome. RNAcentral describes it as "bacterial LSU rRNA". It matches the Rfam family "Bacterial large subunit ribosomal RNA", at positions 1122 to 2317 of the family's 2925-position model. The record is from RNAcentral.
UUUAAAGAGUGCGUAAUAGCUCACUGGUCGAGUGCCCCUGCGCCGAAAAUGUACCGGGACUAAGCGUUGCACCGAAGGUAUGGAUUCGUAGUAAUACGAGUGGUAGGGGAGCGUUGUGAUCUGCAGGGAAGGUAUACCGUAAGGAGUACUGGAGCGUUCACAAGUGAGAAUGCCGGCAUGAGUAGCGAUAAUGGGGGUGAGAUUCCCCCACGCCGAAAGCCCAAGGAUUCCCCGGCAAGGCCAAUCCGCCGGGGGUUAGUCGGUCCCUAAGGCAAACCCGAAAGGGGUAGUCGAUGGAAAUCAGGUUAAUAUUCCUGAACCGCCAUGGUUUCGUUCGAGCGAUGGAGUGACGAAGAAGGAUAGGCAGGCAGAGCGUUGGUUUCUGCUGCUAGUUGUAGGUGUUGAGGAUUCCAGGCAAAUCCGGAAUCUGAGCCGAGGGCUGGCACGAGUGAUCCUACGGGUGAUCGAAGCUGUUCAUUCCACGCUUCCAAGAAAAACUUCUAAGUGAGAAAUCGUGGUGACCGUACCGCAAACGGACACACGUGGGCGAGUAGAAUAUACUAAGGCGCUCGAGAGAACUCCUCCUAAGGAACUCGGCAAGCUAGCUCCGUAACUUCGGGAGAAGGAGCGCCCUUUCAGGUGAAGGUCCUGCGACCGGAGCCUGUUGGGGCCGCAGUGAAAGGGGGGUAGCGACUGUUUAACAAAAACACAGGUCUCUGCAAACUCGUAAGAGGACGUAUAGGGGCUGACACCUGCCCGGUGCCGGAAGGUUAAGAGGAUCCGUUAGCUUGUUUAACUUGCGACGCGGAGAAUUGAAGCCCCGGUAAACGGCGGCCGUAACUAUGACGGUCCUAAGGUAGCGAAAUUCCUUGUCGGGUAAGUUCCGACCCGCACGAAUGGUGUAACGACUGCCCCACUGUCUCAGGAGGAGGCUCGGCGAAAUUGUAGUGCCCGUGAAGAUGCGGGCUACCAGUACCUGGACGGAAAGACCCCGUGAACCUUUACUAUAACCUGGCAUUGACCUUCGGUCGAAUAUGUGUAGGAUAGGUGGGAGACUUUGAUGCAGGGACGCUAGUUCUUGCGGAGUCAACCUUGAAAUACCACCCUUAUUCCGCUGGAGGUCUAACCCGCUGCAGAACAGCAGGGACAUUGUCAGGCGGGUAGUUUGACUGGGGCGGUCGCCUCCUAAAGAGUAACGGAGGCGCCCAAAGGU